UAAAUGCUUAUGUCCCCAGUUGUCCAUAGCUUUCCCAUGUUAAUUUUGUGGGAAAGCCAGAUGAUAGUCAUAGUAUAGUAUAUUUCUAAAUUUAAAUGUAUUUUUUAAUGGCACUAAAAUAUGUGCAAAACUGCAUCUGAAUGCUAUUCAGCCUUAAGAAGGAAUGAAAUUCUGUGUGCAGUGUGCGUCUGCAUUAUGCGUUAACCAGAUCUCUCCAAUGUCAGAAAUACCAGCUCAACCAUAAAGGAGGUCCUGGUAAGGAAUGCGGAACUAACAAGCUACCCACCAACGGGAAGAAUUCAGGAAAGGUCAAAAGGAGAGAGGAGACUCCAGUUCAUAUGUCCUACCAACCUCUCAGAAUCCUUCUCGCUGGAAUCCAUCUUGGCUGAGAGAUACGUGCCUCACCAGGAAGGACCCUGAGUCAGAAUGAUUGGCCGGAGACAACCCGGAAACUAACCCCAUUACCAUAAAACCUGAGACUGUGAGCCACGUGGCAGAGCAGUUCUCCUGGGUUCCCUUACCCUGCUGCUCUCUGCCCGGGCACCCUUUCCCAAUAAAGUCUCUUGCUUUG
Physeter macrocephalus (sperm whale) is the source of this 571-nucleotide long non-coding RNA. RefSeq lists it as uncharacterized. The transcript is spliced from 3 exons. Lineage: Eukaryota; Metazoa; Chordata; Mammalia; Artiodactyla; Physeteridae. The record is from RefSeq and is a predicted model, not a curated record.